RNAcentral lists this ribosomal RNA (460 nucleotides) under uncultured bacterium. RNAcentral's name for it is "partial 16S ribosomal RNA". It matches the Rfam family "Bacterial small subunit ribosomal RNA", at positions 338 to 795 of the family's 1533-position model. The record is from RNAcentral.
CCUACGGGAGGCAGCAGUGAGGAAUAUUGGUCAAUGGACGAGAGUCUGAACCAGCCAAGCCGCGUGAAGGAUGACUGUCCUAUGGGUGGUAAACUUCUUUUAUAUGGGAGUAAACUGCUCUACGUGUGGGAUCUUGUAUGUACCAUAUGAAUAAGGAUCGGCUAACUCCGUGCCAGCAGCCGCGGUAAUACGGAGGAUCCGAGCGUUAUCCGGAUUUAUUGGGGUUAAAGGGAGCGUAGGUGGGAGGUUAAGUCCGUUGUGAAAGUUUGGGGCUCAACCGUAAAAUUGCAGUUGAAACUGGCAGUCUUGAGUACGGUAGAGGUGGGCGGAAUUCGUGGUGUAGCGGUGAAAUGCUUAGAUAUCACGAAGAACUCCGAUUGCGAAGGCAGCUCACUGGACUGCAACUGACACUGAGGCUCGAAAGUGUGGGUAGCAAACAGGAUUAGAUACCCUAGUAGUC